UGGUACUACAGAGGCGCAAAGGUUGUCGCUGACCUUUUCACGAGGUCGUGCACGCCUGAGUGCUCUCACACACAAUCCACCUCACCACUUGUGCACCACCAUGCGGAGGCCCCUUGCUCUUGGCUCGUUUCGAGAGGGGGGAGGCUUUCGUCUUUUUUACACACACACACAAUACAGUCUGGUAGUAUAGAAUGUCAUUCAUUUGCGAUAACACGCAAUCAAUA
This 224-nucleotide unclassified non-coding RNA is filed under the name uncultured Russula. RNAcentral describes it as "sequence contains ITS1". The record is from RNAcentral. Lineage: Eukaryota; Fungi; Basidiomycota; Agaricomycetes; Russulales; Russulaceae.